GGUAAAAAGUGAGCAAAAAUUGCCUUCCUUCACCUACCCUGUUAUUAUAAGGUUACCAUACACCUUGUUUUACCCAACAGGUCCUCCUUGUUUAUGCAGAAAUUUUGACCAGGGUGGAAAAACUUUUAGUUGUUACCAAGAUAUUAAUAACACACAAAAGAAAUAUGGCAGCCCAAUCCUUUAUUCAAAGAUGUUCUUAAAUAAGGUACAAUAAUUAAUAGGAGCCAGGAAAAUUCCAAACUCAAGAACUUGGCAGAAAUAACAUUUGUCAUCACCAUUUUUUUUAGAAAAGGAGUAGUGAAUGUUUCCAUGAAUUCCCAACUCCAAGGAGUAAGAAAAAAAAAACCAGCUCACAGUAGUAGCUGUGGAUUCAGCUGGUUUGGGAAUUCAAGACCAAGUACAGAAGUUUAAAUAAGGAAAGCAGAGCAUGGACGUGAAUGGAUGUAUACUACACUUCCUACUAUUAAUUUGACCCCAGUACUUGAAAAAACAGAAAUGCACCUGAAGUACAGAACUGUACAUGAAGCACACGUGCUCUACAUCUCUUACCCACCCAAAAUGACUGAUUUUCAUUCUAGGAGGCUGGUGAUGGGAAAUAAGAUGAGAAUGAUUGUGAAGUACGUAGUUGAGGCAAGUUGUCCGAUGAUAAUAAAUGGAUGUUCGACUGGUUGGCUACCGAUUCAUGUAAGGAUUAAAAGAUUUGUUACUAGAAUUCAGAAUAAAAGCUGGGAGAGAGGUCGGAAGGUCAUAGUUCGUUGUUUUGACAUGUGGAGGAAUGGGGCUAGAAAUAGGAUUAAGACGGAGGCGGCUAGGGCUAGGACUCCUCCUAAUUUGUUGGGGAUUGAUCGUAGGAUAGCGUAUGCAAAUAGGAAGUGCCACUCAGGUUUGAUGUGGGGAGGUGUUACUAGUGGGUUUGCGGGUGUAAAAUUCUCUGGAUCUCCUAGGAGCCUUUAUAGCUCCCAAGGGCAUUUCCUGUUGCUGGGAUUGUAAUAACUGAACUUCUAACACCCUUUGCAGAAUA
RNAcentral lists this long non-coding RNA (1021 nucleotides) under Manacus vitellinus (golden-collared manakin). RNAcentral describes it as "lncRNA (ENSMVIG00005000808.1)". Lineage: Eukaryota; Metazoa; Chordata; Aves; Passeriformes; Pipridae. The record is from RNAcentral.